Molecule: long non-coding RNA, 464 nt
Organism: Ipomoea nil (Japanese morning glory)
Lineage: Eukaryota; Viridiplantae; Streptophyta; Magnoliopsida; Solanales; Convolvulaceae
Exons: 2
Source: RefSeq, a predicted model, not a curated record
AUUGAGCAUGGACCUCCACAUCCUUAUCAAGCUGUCAGUCAAAAUAAAUUUGAUUAAAGAAAGAAAUACUCAUUCCAUCCCAUUUUGUUUAUUUAUAAUUCAAUUUUUCAUAAUACUAAGUUUAGCAUUAGUACAGAAAAUGUAUAUAUUUAGAAACUACACUAAAAAUACUAUUGAACACAUAAAAUCAAAUUUAAAAAUAAUAAGAAAAUACUAAAGAUAAUAAACAAAGAAGAAAGAGUUGGUUUGACUGAAUAGUAAAUAAGACGGGUAAAAAGGGACAAAGGGAGUAUUAUUUAUUUGGGUUGGCAGACAGAAUUUAUUCCAACAAAUCAUUUGUAACAAAAGAAACAACCUUUGAAGAGAGAGAGAGAGAGAGGGGGAAAAAAAAAGGUUAAACACAAAAACCAUUGCUUAUUGGGAAAAGGAUUUAAUGAUUCAAGUGUGCAAACAGAUACUAAAAA